This 646-nucleotide long non-coding RNA is filed under the name Anas platyrhynchos platyrhynchos (common mallard). RNAcentral describes it as "lncRNA (ENSAPLG00000025921.1)". The record is from RNAcentral. Lineage: Eukaryota; Metazoa; Chordata; Aves; Anseriformes; Anatidae.
AUGUCUGCUAAGCAAUUUUCUAACAGGAAAAUCUGGCAUCUCUCACGUGAGGAGAAAUACGGGGGAGGAAAGGAACACUUAGCUGCUGAGCCUGAACAAGCAGAGAAACAGAGACUCGUGAGUGAUGUCAAACACCAGGUUCUUGGGCUGCCUCUUGACCUGAUGCCUGACCUGCCCUUGGAUGCCCAGGAUAUGAAAGAUUUCUGCCCGAGUCUGCCCUGGUCUCCUUUCUUCCACUCUGAGGAACUGGAGGACUGGACAAGUGGCGUGAAUGUCUGGGUAUCCACAUUGUUACCAUCGCUGCGGGGGCUGUGUGAAGAACCACAUGGAUGGAGAGGUGUCUUCUGCUGUGCUGGGCUAUCUCAUCACUUUGAUCUCCCACUGUCACUUUUAGUGUUGGGUGAGACUUCUUCCCUGCCCUCAGCCUCCUCCAUAGACAGAUGUAGAAAAUUGGUCAUGGCUAGUUGAAAUAGCUGGUGGAGAUCUAGCUCUUGGUAUUUGGACAGUGAUAGCUAACAGAACUGGGAGCCUGGUGGCAUAUCCUGGUGCUUCAGCUGGUAUCAAAACUGAAAUGCUUCCUUGAUCUUGAUUCUUCCUCUAAGUUAAGCUGGGGAGGAAGCACAGCACGGGGUGCUCAGCAGCAGUG